This 336-nucleotide unclassified non-coding RNA is filed under the name soil metagenome. Its description in RNAcentral is "partial contains 5.8S ribosomal RNA, internal transcribed spacer 2, and large subunit ribosomal RNA". The stretch from base 1 to 120 matches the Rfam family "5.8S ribosomal RNA", at positions 35 to 154 of the family's 154-position model. The record is from RNAcentral.
GAUGAAGAACGCAGCGAAAUGCGAUGAGUAAUGUGAAUUGCAGAAUUCCGUGAAUCAUCGAAUCUUUGAACGCACAUUGCGCCCCCUGGUAUUCCGGGGGGCAUGCCUGUCCGAGCGUCAUUGCAACCUUCAAGCGCGGCUUGUGUGUUGGGUCUCGUCCCCCGUGGACGGGCCCGAAAGGCAGUGGCGGCGUCCCGACAUGGUGCCCGAGCGUAUGGGAAUCCUCUUCCGCUCGAAUCGGCCCAUGCGGCGCUGGUCGUAACCAAAUUUUUUACCGGUUGACCUCGGAUCAGGUAGGGAUACCCGCUGAACUUAAGCAUAUCAAUAAGCGGAGGA